This 48-nucleotide non-coding RNA is filed under the name Trichobilharzia regenti. The record is from RNAcentral. Lineage: Eukaryota; Metazoa; Platyhelminthes; Trematoda; Strigeidida; Schistosomatidae.
AUCCAACUGACGAGUCCCGAAUAGGAUGAAAUGUGUUUUGUCUUGGAU